CAUGCAAGUCGAACGAUGAAGCCCUUCGGGGUGGAUUAGUGGCGAACGGGUGAGUAACACGUGGGCAAUCUGCCCUGCACUCUGGGACAAGCCCUGGAAACGGGGUCUAAUACCGGAUACGAGGUUCAGAGGCAUCUUUGAACUUGGAAAGCUCCGGCGGUGCAGGAUGAGCCCGCGGCCUAUCAGCUUGUUGGUGAGGUAAUGGCUCACCAAGGCGACGACGGGUAGCCGGCCUGAGAGGGCGACCGGCCACACUGGGACUGAGACACGGCCCAGACUCCUACGGGAGGCAGCAGUGGGGAAUAUUGCACAAUGGGCGCAAGCCUGAUGCAGCGACGCCGCGUGAGGGAUGACGGCCUUCGGGUUGUAAACCUCUUUCAGCAGGGAAGAAGCGAGAGUGACGGUACCUGCAGAAGAAGCGCCGGCUAACUACGUGCCAGCAGCCGCGGGUAAUUCA
Molecule: ribosomal RNA, 457 nt
Filed under: Streptomyces sp. EXM-11-1
Lineage: Bacteria; Bacillati; Actinomycetota; Actinomycetes; Kitasatosporales; Streptomycetaceae
Description: bacterial SSU rRNA
Rfam family: Bacterial small subunit ribosomal RNA
Source: RNAcentral